This 1174-nucleotide ribosomal RNA is filed under the name Campylobacter jejuni. RNAcentral describes it as "partial 23S ribosomal RNA". It matches the Rfam family "Bacterial large subunit ribosomal RNA", at positions 1 to 1188 of the family's 2925-position model. The record is from RNAcentral. Lineage: Bacteria; Pseudomonadati; Campylobacterota; Epsilonproteobacteria; Campylobacterales; Campylobacteraceae.
UAAAAAAAGGUAAGCUACUAAGAGCGAAUGGUGGAUGCCUUGACUGGUAAAGGCGAUGAAGGACGUACUAGACUGCGAUAAGCUACGGGGAGCUGUCAAGAAGCUUUGAUCCGUAGAUUUCCGAAUGGGGCAACCCAAUGUAUAGAGAUAUACAUUACCUAUAUAGGAGCGAACGAGGGGAAUUGAAACAUCUUAGUACCCUCAGGAAAAGAAAUCAAUAGAGAUUGCGUCAGUAGCGGCGAGCGAAAGCGCAAGAGGGCAAACCCAGUGCUUGCACUGGGGGUUGUAGGACUGCAAUGUGCAAGAGGUAAGUUUAGCAGAACAUUCUGGAAAGUAUAGCCAUAGAGGGUGAUAGUCCCGUAUGCGAAAAACAAACCUUAGCUAGCAGUAUCCUGAGUAGGGCGGGACACGAGGAAUCCUGUCUGAAUCCGGGUCGACCACGAUCCAACCCUAAAUACUAAUACCAGAUCGAUAGUGUACAAGUACCGUGAGGGAAAGGUGAAAAGAACUGAGGUGAUCAGAGUGAAAUAGAACCUGAAACCAUUUGCUUACAAUCAUUCAGAGCCCUAUGUAGCAAUACAGGGUGAUGGACUGCCUUUUGCAUAAUGAGCCUGCGAGUUGUGGUGUCUGGCAAGGUUAAGCAAACGCGAAGCCGUAGCGAAAGCGAGUCUGAAUAGGGCGCUUAGUCAGAUGCUGCAGACCCGAAACGAAGUGAUCUAUCCAUGAGCAAGUUGAAGCUAGUGUAAGAACUAGUGGAGGACUGAACCCAUAGGCGUUGAAAAGCCCCGGGAUGACUUGUGGAUAGGGGUGAAAGGCCAAUCAAACUUCGUGAUAGCUGGUUCUCUCCGAAAUAUAUUUAGGUAUAGCGUUGUGUCGUAAUAUAAGGGGGUAGAGCACUGAAUGGGCUAGGGCAUACACCAAUGUACCAAACCCUAUCAAACUCCGAAUACCUUAUAUGUAAUCACAGCAGUCAGGCGGCGAGUGAUAAAAUCCGUCGUCAAGAGGGAAACAACCCAGACUACCAGCUAAGGUCCCUAAAUCUUACUUAAGUGGAAAACGAUGUGAAGUUACUUAAACAACCAGGAGGUUGGCUUAGAAGCAGCCAUCCUUUAAAGAAAGCGUAAUAGCUCACUGGUCUAGUGAUUUUGCGCGGAAAAUAUAACGGGGCUAAAGU